This 451-nucleotide ribosomal RNA is filed under the name uncultured Rubrobacteraceae bacterium. RNAcentral's name for it is "SSU rRNA". It matches the Rfam family "Bacterial small subunit ribosomal RNA", at positions 1 to 442 of the family's 1533-position model. The record is from RNAcentral. Lineage: Bacteria; Bacillati; Actinomycetota; Rubrobacteria; Rubrobacterales; Rubrobacteraceae.
UAUUGUUCGGAGAGUUUGAUCCUGGCUCAGGACGAACGCUGACGGUGUGCUUUAGACAUGCAAGUCGAACGAGAAAGCCCUUCGGGGUGAGUAAAGUGGCGAACGGGUGAGUAACACGUGGGCAAUCUGCCCCUCGCAGGGGGAUAACCGGGGGAAACCCCGGCUAAUACCCCGUACGCUUACGGAGCCGCAUGGUUCCGUAAGGAGAGGUAGCUUCGGCCAUCCGGCGAGGGAUGAGCCCGCGGUACAUUAGCUAGUUGGUGGGGUAACGGCCCACCAAGGCGACGAUGUAUAGCUGGUCUGAGAGGAUGAUCAGCCACACUGGGACUGAGACACGGCCCAGACUCCUACGGGAGGCAGCAGUCGGGAAUCUUGCGCAAUGGGCGAAAGCCUGACGCAGCAACACCGUGUGAGUGAUGAAGGCCUUCGGGUCGUAAAGCUCUGUUGUUGG